AAGAAGAAGAAAAAAAAAAGACUUUGAACUAAAGCAAGAGA
This 41-nucleotide small RNA is filed under the name Arabidopsis thaliana (thale cress). RNAcentral's name for it is "ATSL221050". Lineage: Eukaryota; Viridiplantae; Streptophyta; Magnoliopsida; Brassicales; Brassicaceae. The record is from RNAcentral.